RNAcentral lists this ribosomal RNA (450 nucleotides) under uncultured bacterium. RNAcentral describes it as "partial 16S ribosomal RNA". It matches the Rfam family "Bacterial small subunit ribosomal RNA", at positions 338 to 795 of the family's 1533-position model. The record is from RNAcentral.
CCUACGGGGGGCAGCAGUGGGGAAUUUUGGACAAUGGGGGCAACCCUGAUCCAGCCAUGCCGCGUGCGGGAAGAAGGCCUUCGGGUUGUAAACCGCUUUUGUUCGGGAAGAAAUCGACCUCGCUAAUACCGGGGUUGGAUGACGGUACCGGAAGAAUAAGCACCGGCUAACUACGUGCCAGCAGCCGCGGUAAUACGUAGGGUGCGUGCGUUAAUCGGAAUUUGCGGGGGCAAAGCGUGCGCAGAGAGUUGAAAGCCCCGGGCUUAACCUGGGAACUGCAUUUGAAACUACGAGGCUAGAGUGUGUCAGAGGGGGGUAGAAUUCCACGUGUAGCAGUGAAAUGCGUAGAGAUGUGGAGGAAUACCGAUGGCGAAGGCAGCCCCCUGGGAUAACACUGACGCUCAUGCACGAAAGCGUGGGGAGCAAACAGGAUUAGAUACCCCGGUAGUC